Molecule: ribosomal RNA, 497 nt
Filed under: uncultured bacterium
Lineage: Bacteria
Description: partial 16S ribosomal RNA
Rfam family: Bacterial small subunit ribosomal RNA
Source: RNAcentral
GAUGAACGCUGGCGGCGUGCCUAAUACAUGCAAGUCGAGCGAACGGACGAGAAGCUUGCUGCUCUGAUGUUAGCGGCGGACGGGUGAGUAACACGUGGAUAACCUACCUAUAAGACUGGGAUAACUUCGGUAAACCGGAGCUAAUACCGGAUAAUAUUUUGAACCGCAUGGUUCAAAAGCGAAAGACGGUCUUGCUGUCACUUAUAGAUGGAUCCGCGCUGCAUUAGCUAGUUGGUAAGGUAACGGCUUACCAAGGCAACGAUGCAUAGCCGACCUGAGAGGGUGAUCGGCCACACUGGCACUGAGACACGGUCCAGACUCCUACGGGAGGCAGCAGUAGGGAAUCUUCCGCAAUGGGCGAAAGCCUGACGGAGCAACGCAGCGUGAGUGAUGAAGGUCGUCGGAUCGUAAAACUCUGUUAUUAGGGAAGAACAUAUGUGUAAGUAACUGUGCACAUCUUGACGGUACCUAAUCAGAAAGCCACGGCUAACUACGUG